Molecule: ribosomal RNA, 301 nt
Filed under: uncultured bacterium
Lineage: Bacteria
Description: partial 16S ribosomal RNA
Rfam family: Bacterial small subunit ribosomal RNA
Source: RNAcentral
CAGUAGCCGCGGUAAUACGUAGGUGGCAAGCGUUGUCCGGAAUUAUUGGGCGUAAAGGGAGCGCAGGCGGGCGAGUAAGUCUUUCUUAAAAGUGCGGGGCUCAACCCCGUGAGGGGAGAGAAACUACUCAUCUUGAGUGCAGGAGAGGAAAGCGGAAUUCCUAGUGUAGCGGUGAAAUGCGUAGAUAUUAGGAAGAACGCCAGUGGCGAAGGCGGCUUUCUGAACUGUAACUGACGCUGAGGCUCGAAAGCCAGGGGAGCGAACGGGAUUAGAUACCCCUGUAGUCCCUGUCUCUUAUACA